This 425-nucleotide ribosomal RNA is filed under the name uncultured bacterium. Its description in RNAcentral is "bacterial SSU rRNA". It matches the Rfam family "Bacterial small subunit ribosomal RNA", at positions 356 to 773 of the family's 1533-position model. The record is from RNAcentral.
AGGGAAUCUUCCACAAUGGGCGAAAGCCUGAUGGAGCAACGCCGCGUGAGCGAAGAAGGUCUUCGGAUCGUAAAGCUCUGUUGUAAGGGAAGAAUAAGUGCAGUAGUAACUGGCUGCACCUUGACGGUACCUUACGAGAAAGCCACGGCUAACUACGUGCCAGCAGCCGCGGUAAUACGUAGGUGGCAAGCGUUGUCCGGAAUUAUUGGGCGUAAAGCGCGCGCAGGCGGUCUUUUAAGUCUGAUGUGAAAGCCCCCGGCUUAACCGGGGAGGGUCAUUGGAAACUGGGAGACUUGAGUGCAGAAGAGGAAAGUGGAAUUCCAAGUGUAGCGGUGAAAUGCGUAGAGAUUUGGAGGAACACCAGUGGCGAAGGCGACUUUCUGGUCUGUUACUGACGCUGAGGCGCGAAAGCGUGGGGAGCAAAC